Molecule: ribosomal RNA, 373 nt
Filed under: uncultured bacterium
Lineage: Bacteria
Description: bacterial SSU rRNA
Rfam family: Bacterial small subunit ribosomal RNA
Source: RNAcentral
UAAUACGGAGGGUGCAAGCGUUGUCCGGAUUUAUUGGGUUUAAAGGGUGCGUAGGCGGCUUUUUAAGUCAGCGGUGAAAGACAACAGCUCAACUGUUGCAGUGCCAUUGAUACUGAAGAGCUUGAGUACAGAUGAGGUAGGCGGAAUUUAUGGUGUAGCGGUGAAAUGCAUAGAUACCAUAAAGAACACCUAUUGCGAAGGCAGCUUACUAAGCUGUAACUGACGCUGAGGCACGAAAGUGUGGGGAUCAAACAGGAUUAGAUACCCUGGUAGUCCACACUGUAAACGAUGAUCACUCGAUGUGUGCGAUAGACAGUACGCGUCCAAGCGAAAGCGUUAAGUGAUCCACCUGGGGAGUACGCUCGCAAGAGUG